CCGUGCUAGGUGGGGAGGUAGCGGUGCCCUGUACUCGCAAUCCGCUAUAGCGAGACUGAAUCCCUUGCCGAGGUGUUAUUGCUUUAAGGUCUGCCUUAAAGGAGCAGUGCCGACGUCCGGGUCCUGCGCAACAGGAGCUCGUGAACUAUGUCAGGUCCGGAAGGAAGCAGCAUUAAGCGAUCUCUCCUGUGUGCCGCAGGGAAGCCUGGGCUGAGCUGCAAUCUUAAGUAACGCUUAGGGCAAUAGCAUCGAAGCUUGGUGCACGG
RNAcentral lists this signal recognition particle RNA (266 nucleotides) under Gracilibacillus halotolerans. RNAcentral's name for it is "Bacterial large signal recognition particle RNA". It matches the Rfam family "Bacterial large signal recognition particle RNA". Rfam says of the family: The signal recognition particle (SRP) is a universally conserved ribonucleoprotein involved in the co-translational targeting of proteins to membranes. Archaeal SRP consists of a 7S RNA and homologues of the eukaryotic SRP19 and SRP54 proteins. Lineage: Bacteria; Bacillati; Bacillota; Bacilli; Caryophanales; Bacillaceae. The record is from Rfam by way of RNAcentral.